Small nucleolar RNA from Macaca fascicularis (crab-eating macaque), 104 nucleotides. The record is from Ensembl. NCBI's taxonomy places the organism in Eukaryota, Metazoa, Chordata, Mammalia, Primates, Cercopithecidae.
AUGUUUUUGUGGUUUAUGAAUGUGAUGAUUGGGUUUUCACACUCAAGUGUGAGAUAUGCCUCUCUCAGACCUUGUUCCAGUGUCGGUACAUUACCGGUCUGACA